CCUUGACCUCUGCCAAGGACAUUAUAUGACAUUUGACACUUAAGCAAGACAUCUCACAAGUGCAGACAUACCCCCAAAAUGUUUUCCGUUUCAGAGGAAAAUACAACUGCAGUUCAGAAAAGACAUUUGUUCAUCCCCCAAAACUAGGUAUGUUAACUCAUCUUGUAGCCUAGUUGUAGUUUCUGUGCAGUAGGUAAACUGCUGUAUAUCUGCAAUUUGUACUGAACUUUCUCUUUAGUAUAAUUGCUAGUUUUGUUAAAAUAAAAAAAAAAACAUGUUACCACCCAGUAUUGUACCAUAACCUCUACGUUUUGUAAGGUUUCUGACCUUUUGAGAGGAGCCCUAAACUAAGGUGUUAUAUAACCCCCUGCACCCUGCUUGUGGCUCAGUGUUGAGCUAUGAAGAUGAGGUCACUGCUGCUUGUCUGCCUGAUUGUGGUCACACUGACUGUGGCUAUUGCUGCCCCCAAGCAAGAGGGGUCUGAAACGGGCAAAGGAAAAAAGGAACUCGAGAGCGGAUGUCAGCGAGCUACUGACCUCUGGAGGACAAAGGCCAGCCCUGCAGGUGUCCGCUUUUGAGCUCACAGGGCGCCUGGCCAGCAGGGUUCACUGUAGCGCAAUGAGGAGAAACAGUCCCUUUUGUUUUUGCUUCCCUAACCCACGGGAGUGCCAGAGCCAAUGUUACGCUCCCUUUGGAAUUCACAGCGAAGACCGACAACUUUGCACAGCCAGGACGCGAACCUGUGCUGUAUGACCACACAACCACGCUUUUACCAGGUGAGCCACUCGAGGACCCCCUGAUAGUGUUUUUGAGGUUAAGAUUCAUUUAAAAGUUAUAACUAGCUCUUUAUUUUAUAUAUAUAUAUAUAUAUAUAUAUAUAUAUAUAUAUAUAUAUAUAUAUAUAUAUUGCACCAGGAUGACUGAACAAAAGGAAAAGUGAAACGAAGAAACUGUAAAAAAUGACGACUGGACACCAACCACUAAAAGCUGGUAAUUUUAAACUUUAAAGAGAUAGUUUAUACCCUCUAAGCGGGCAAUUUCUAAUCUCUUUAUUCAUGCCACUGUCUGGUGCUCCAAGGGAGACUACAGUUGGAAUUUUAUACCAGCUCUGUUAUCCCCAGCUGGGGAUGAAAUCCAUUGCGAAGGGGAUGAAGUGGAGGUGGCUGUACACACACACACACAAUUUGUUACAAACUGUUUAUCCAAUUGACAGGAAACUUAGCAUCAACAUUAUAGAGUAUACAUUAAUGAUAAUAUACAAGAUUGUGAAUGUCACACAGUUUUACAUACAUCUGGAUAAUCCCUCAUCAGACUGUGAUUAAACAUUUCAUUGCUAAUUCUUAUUCUAUCCUGUACAUACUGUUGAUAUGUCAUGUUCAUCGUUUAGAGUUUACGUGGCAGGAGAUGUAUAUGUAUUGUAAAAGAUCUUCACCCACUCGGGUUCGUUGCCCCUUUAAAAAUAGACCCGGCACACAGAAAUGGAUUUUAAGCGCUGGUGCGCUAUUUUUAAUCAACACAAAAAUUAAACAAAACACACAAAAUAAACACCUAGCUCGGUACGAGCACUAACUAACACACAGGAACACCCUGGCUAACACGGGACAGCUACACUGUUUCCCCGUCCUUACAAAACACACUGGUUUUAUACAGCACUUACUUUUUAGCUCAUGACUGCCAGGAAGCAGAGCACACCUUUCUGCCUCCUUCUCCUCAGCAGCCUUGAGCAGACUAGCUGCCUCUCUUAAAUACCCUGCACCUGGUUUUAAUUUAACAAUAGCUACCAGGUGCAGGGGAUAAUUAAUAAUAAAACAAUUAACAAAUCAAAGAAACAAUCAACCAAAACAAUUAAACUAAACAAAUGUGCAUUCCACACAUGUUUUCCACUCAUGGAGGCUUUAACCCCCUCCCUGCUGUGUUACAGUAUACAUAAGCAUAGGCAAAUUGUAAGCAUGGCAAAUUCUUUGUUGAGAUUUAGUAAUGUCUUUCUCAAAGAGACCCAAGUGUAAAUGUUUGUCGUAAGCACCAUGGAUAAUAGCAUUUACAUAAUGUCCCGUGACAAGAAAUUACAUCUAAAAUACAAAUGUAUUUUUUUCAGAUUUGUAAAAAAAGACCUGCUUCUCCUGGUGUUGUAUCCUUGCUGGAUGGAGAUGGUGAAGAUGCUGGAGGCGGCUAAGCCAGCACAGUAUGGGGUAGAUUUGACAAGGGACAAGAAAAGAAGGCCACCUCCCCUCCAGACAUUCCGAUCAGAGAAAAGAGACAAUUCGAAGCCAACCCAAAGAGACGUCCAAGACCUUGUCUGGGCUGCCUAUCUGUAAUAUCAGCUAAAAAGGAGGCUCCUGUAACACAUACAGCUGAUCCUGUCCUAAUGUGAAGGUGGAUCCAACAAGUGACGUCGUGAUCCUGCCAGUCGAAGUGCAGAAAAAUCACAGUCAAAUGCAUGUUGGCCUGAUAACCAAAUAUUGUUCUUUUUUUUUUUUUUUUUUUUUUUAAUCCUGCGCUAGUAAAUCAUGUAUCUGUGUCAGGAUAGCAUAUACAGCAUGCUCAUGCCUAAGUAAACAAACAUUUUAAGAACAUAAGAAAGUUUACAAACGAGAGGAGGCCAUUCGGCCCAUCUUGCUCUUUUGGUUGUUAGUAGCUUAUUGAUCCCAGAAUCUCAUCAAGCAGCUUCUUGAAGGAUCCCAGGGUGUCGGCUUCAACAACAUUACUGGGGAGCGGGUUCCAGACCCUCACAAUUCUCUGUGUAGAAAAGUGCCUCCUAUUUUCUGUUCUGAAUGCCCCUUUAUCUAAUCUCCAUUUGUGACUCCUGGUCCUUGUCGAAAAAGUCCCCUGGGUCGA
Acipenser ruthenus (sterlet) is the source of this 2835-nucleotide long non-coding RNA. RefSeq lists it as uncharacterized. The transcript is spliced from 4 exons. The record is from RefSeq and is a predicted model, not a curated record. NCBI's taxonomy places the organism in Eukaryota, Metazoa, Chordata, Actinopteri, Acipenseriformes, Acipenseridae.